UCGGUGGCGGAGUGGUCAAUCGCAACAGACUGUAAAUCUGUCGGCUUUAUGCCUACGCAGGUUCGAAUCCUGCCCGGC
Molecule: transfer RNA, 78 nt
Filed under: marine eukaryotic metagenome
Rfam family: tRNA
About the family: Transfer RNA (tRNA) molecules are approximately 80 nucleotides in length. Their secondary structure includes four short double-helical elements and three loops (D, anti-codon, and T loops).
Source: RNAcentral